This 341-nucleotide unclassified non-coding RNA is filed under the name soil metagenome. Its description in RNAcentral is "partial contains 5.8S ribosomal RNA, internal transcribed spacer 2, and large subunit ribosomal RNA". The stretch from base 1 to 120 matches the Rfam family "5.8S ribosomal RNA", at positions 35 to 154 of the family's 154-position model. The record is from RNAcentral.
GAUGAAGAACGUAGCAAAAUGCGAUAAGUAAUGUGAAUUGCAGAAUUCAGUGAAUCAUCGAAUCUUUGAACGCACAUUGCGCCCGCCAGUAUUCUGGCGGGCAUGCCUGUUCGAGCGUCAUUUCAACCCUCAAGCCCCCGGGUUUGGUGUUGGGGAUCGGGCUGUACUCCAGCCCGGCCCCGAAAUCUAGUGGCGGUCUCGCUGCAGCCUCCAUUGCGUAGUAGCUAACACCUCGCAACUGGAACGCGGCGCGGCCAAGCCGUUAAACCCCCAACUUCUGAAUGUUGACCUCGGAUCAGGUAGGAAUACCCGCUGAACUUAAGCAUAUCAUAAGCGGAGGA